Molecule: long non-coding RNA, 489 nt
Filed under: Junco hyemalis (dark-eyed junco)
Lineage: Eukaryota; Metazoa; Chordata; Aves; Passeriformes; Passerellidae
Description: lncRNA (ENSJHYG00000004378.1)
Source: RNAcentral
AAUCCAUGGAGUGAGUCAUGCAGUUCAGUCACAGUACCUGGCAGCCAAUGCAUUACUCACAAAGAGAUACAGAAAUGGAGUGUGCACACACUCAUCACCAAUAAAAUGUUUAACAGAGCCAAGUGGAAAUUGCUGCUAGUGGAUAUGCUACAGCUGCUUGUGACAUUCUGAGAAGGUGGAUAUUUGCAAAUAAUACAGUUCACUUGACCCUCGCUGCCUGGCAAUGAAAGAAAAACAAUCUGAAGUACUUUCUUGGGGUUUUGGGCUGCCAUACGCUUCAGCAAGGAGCUGCACCCAAAGGAGGAGCAAUGCACCAGACCAAGCAUGCCUGGCUGUCCACAGUGGGUUGGCAGUAAACAGCAUAUUAUACUUACCACAGCUUACCUAUUAUGCAGAUUUCAAGGCAGGAAACUGCCUGCAAAACAGGUAUACAGUGAGCAUAAACUUUUUUGUUAUUGUGGUAGCUGAUGGUGUUGUUGUUACAGCAGG